CGCGUAGGUGGCUGUUUAAGUCAGAUGUGAAAGUCCACGGCUCAACCGUGGAAGUGCAUUUGAAACUGGAUAGCUUGAGUACUGGAGGGGGUAGUGGAAUUCCCGGUGUAGAGGUGAAAUUCGUAGAUAUCGGGAGGAAUACCGGUGGCGAAGGCGACUACCUGGCCAGAUACUGACACUGAGGUGCGAAAGCGUGGGGAGCAAACA
This 207-nucleotide ribosomal RNA is filed under the name uncultured bacterium. RNAcentral's name for it is "partial 16S ribosomal RNA". It matches the Rfam family "Bacterial small subunit ribosomal RNA", at positions 568 to 774 of the family's 1533-position model. The record is from RNAcentral.